UUCAACAGUGUUCUUAGAGGCAGCCACACCUCAGCAAGGUCUUUCUAACUUGGGACGGCAGAGUUCAAAGGAACUAAUAGACACAAACUGCAAAAGAGUCCUGAACCAAGUCAGGAGGUGAAGCUUUACAGUGCCAUCGCCCUCUGAAGCCCCUUGAAACACGGGAUACUACAUAAGAGAGAAAAAAAGGGAAUGGACCAUCUUCUAGAACACCUGGAAUGUGAUCCAAGCCUGGAGACAAAAUGAUGAUAAAAGUGAGCAAAGAAAUAGUCUCAGAAAGACCCUCUGAAAAAGUGGAGACUUCACCAACAGGGAACCACAGCUGAUUGACAAUGAAAAACCAUUAGCAAGAAUGAAACUCCAGAAGCUCCGUCCAUUACAUAUGAAGGCCACUAGGCCUCAGGAUCUCCAUUAUGCAUCUUUCCCAGGGUUGCAGCUAGAAGACAGUAAAACUAGCAAUGGAGCCCUUAUAUGAAGAAUAUCUAGCAAAUCGUGGAACAAUAGUAAAACCUUAUUACUGGCUAAGCUUCUCUCUAGAUUGCUCUAACUGUCCUUACCAUAUUCGGACAGGUGAAGAAGCAAGAGUUCCCUAUACAGAAUUUUAUCAGAUUUUUGGAUUCCCUUAUGGGCCAGUGUGCCCUCAAACAAAGCACCUCACAUUUUAUGAACUAAAAACUUCUUCUGGAAGCCUGGUGCAGAAGGGCCAUGCUAGCAGUUGCACGGGGAAUAAUACCCAUCCAGAAUCAAUGUUAUUUGAGAUGAAUGGUUAUUUUGACUCAGCCGUACACAACAACAACACAAUCAGGCAUAUCAUUCUGUAUUCCAACAACUCCCCUUGUAACGAAGCCAACCACUGCUGCAUUGGCAAAAUGUACAAUUUCUUAAUAACGUAUCCAGAUGUUACUCUUAGCAUUUACUUUUCUCAGCUCUAUCAUACUGAGCCUGAAUUUCCUGCCUCGGCCUGGAACCGUGAAGCUCUCCGGAGCCUGGCCAGUUUAUGGCCCCGGGUCACUUUGAGCCCAAUAAGUGGUGGAAUUUGGUAUUCUCUCCUCAACAACUUUGUGAGUGGUGUCUCCGGAUCAAUUGUUUUCCAGCCCAUUUUAACUGGGAGAGCUUUGGCUGACAGGCACAACGCCUAUGAAAUCAAUGCCAUAACGGGAGUGAAACCUUAUUUCACUGAUGUUCUUCCCCAGACAGAAGAGAAUCAGAACAUAAAAGCUCAGGUGGCUUUAGAGAGCUACCUCAUUAACAAGAUCAUUCCUGGACAGUCUUUGCAAGUGACAAAUGGACAACCACAACCCAAUCUGACCCCAGACCUCAAGGUUCCUGUUGUUUUUGUCCUGGUACCUUUCAGAGACCUACCACCAAUACACGUGGGUCAAAGCCCACAUAAGCCGAGCUAUAUCGUGAGGCACUUAAAUAUGCCUCAAAUGUCAUUCCAGGAAACCAAGGACCUCAGAAGCCCUCCCAUGGGAAUGCCAGUGGACGGAGUGGAAAUCACGGAGCAGUUUGCACGUAGCAAAGAGGUAGAUGAAAAGAAGAAGAAGAAAGGAAAGAAAUAAAAUCUGUAUUUCUAAGACAUGAGACCAAACAACACCAGAAAACUAAUUUGAUAGCAAACAAAAAUCUGGAAAUUUUCUCUCUUAGGUCUGAUCCAAGGUGGGAGAUUAACGGAUACAUAAGAGCAAAACCCGAAUUAUUUGCCAUCUCAACUAUUAUAAAGCUAUGCUACUUUUAACAUAAAACAAGAUGUUUCCAUAAGCAACUUGACCUCUCUCCUUUAUUUUGAAAGUGACAGUAUCAAAAUGGAGCCAUUAGCAUCUUGCUAAUAUUUUAUUGGUGUGGAAAAGGAAAUGUCAUUAUCCUAGUCUACCUACAUCAUCUUUCCACCAAAAAAAGCCCAUGGACUAAACAGCUUCCUAAAUUGGUUUCAGUAUAAAAAUUUACUGUAAAAUUGGAAAACAGCCUGAAGUUACUGACAUUAAGUGCUGUCUGUAAAAGGAAACCAGUGAUUUUCCAUUAAUUGUUAAUCAUGGACAGAAGAAUUUAGGCAGCCCAUUUUUUUCUAAAGUGGUUCAAAAUAGCUUUGUGUGGAAAAAAAAAAACAGCUCUUUUGUUCAUUGAUUAUAUAUAGCUAUGAAGAUUGAUUUUUGAAACUUAGUCACCUGCUCAAUGGGAUUUUUCCCAGCUCAGGUUUCUCCUUCCUGAGCAGAUGAUAGAAGCAGGAUGAUACAUGAGACCCUGCAAAGGCUUCUUCCAACACACACCAUAUAAAAUCCAAGCUGCUUCUACUGACUUCGAGGCUCCUCCUCUACCUUCCAGUUGCCUGGUCUCAUCAGCAAGAUUGUAAGCUUCUACAGGUCAAGCACGGUCUCCCUCCCCUCUUUGGAUUUCCCUUGGAAUUUAGCCAAGUAUCCAGGUGGGCAACUGGGCUAAUGGCAUUAGCAAAUCUGAGAGGUUGGAGAACCAGCUCUGAAUAUUGUUGUCAGGUUGGCUGAUGUCCUGCAGCAGUUGAGAAGGACCUGCCCAUCUUAGAAGACUUUUCAAAAAAAAAAAAAAAGUAUAUCCAAGUAGUUGCCUUGAAAUCUAUUUACAAAGUGGUCAAAAAGACAUAACAU
Molecule: RNA transcript, 2618 nt
Organism: Canis lupus familiaris (dog)
Lineage: Eukaryota; Metazoa; Chordata; Mammalia; Carnivora; Canidae
Gene: APOBEC4
Gene name: apolipoprotein B mRNA editing enzyme catalytic polypeptide like 4
Exons: 4
Source: RefSeq, a predicted model, not a curated record